CGAUCAGGAUGAGAUUCGAACUCACGCGGGGAAACCCCACUGGAUUAGCAGUCCAUCGCCUUAACCACUCGGCCACCUAAUC
This 82-nucleotide transfer RNA is filed under the name Teladorsagia circumcincta. RNAcentral's name for it is "tRNA-Ser". Lineage: Eukaryota; Metazoa; Nematoda; Chromadorea; Rhabditida; Trichostrongylidae. The record is from RNAcentral.